CCUACGGGAGGCAGCAGUGAGGAAUAUUGGUCAAUGGACGAGAGUCUGAACCAGCCAAGUAGCGUGAAGGAUGACUGCCCUAUGGGUUGUAAACUUCUUUUAUAAAGGAAUAAAACGAGGCACGUGUGCCUUUUUGCAUGUACUUUAUGAAUAAGGAUCGGCUAACUCCGUGCCAGCAGCCGCGGUAAAUACGGAGGAUCCGAGCGUUAUCCGGAUUUAGUGGGUUUAAAGGGAGCGUAGAUGGGUUGUUAAGUCAGUUGUGAAAGUUUGCGGCUCAAACGUAAAAUUGCAAUUGAUACUGGCAGUCUUGAGUACCGUUGCAGUAUGCGGAAUUCGUGGUGUAGCGGUGAAAUGCUUAGAUAUCACGCAGAACCCCGAUUGCGAAGGCAGCUUACUAAACUGUGACUGACAUUGAUGCUCGAAAGUGUGGGUAUCAAACAGGAUUAGAUACCCCAGUAGUC
Molecule: ribosomal RNA, 461 nt
Filed under: uncultured bacterium
Lineage: Bacteria
Description: partial 16S ribosomal RNA
Rfam family: Bacterial small subunit ribosomal RNA
Source: RNAcentral